CACUCCUGCGGGAGGCAGCAGUGGGGAAUAUUGGACAAUGGGCGCAAGCCUGAUCCAGCCAUGCCGCGUGAGUGAUGAAGGCCCUAGGGUUGUAAAGCUCUUUUGUGCGGGAAGAUAAUGACGGUACCGCAAGAAUAAGCCCCGGCUAACUUCGUGCCAGCAGCCGCGGUAAUACGAAGGGGGCUAGCGUUGCUCGGAAUCACUGGGCGUAAAGGGUGCGUAGGCGGGUCUUUAAGUCAGGGGUGAAAUCCUGGAGCUCAACUCCAGAACUGCCUUUGAUACUGAAGAUCUUGAGUUCGGGAGAGGUGAGUGGAACUGCGAGUGUAGAGGUGAAAUUCGUAGAUAUUCGCAAGAACACCAGUGGCGAAGGCGGCUCACUGGCCCGAUACUGACGCUGAGGCACGAAAGCGUGGGGAGCAAACAGGAUUAGAAACCCUAGUAGUCCC
This 446-nucleotide ribosomal RNA is filed under the name uncultured organism. Its description in RNAcentral is "partial 16S ribosomal RNA". It matches the Rfam family "Bacterial small subunit ribosomal RNA", at positions 334 to 797 of the family's 1533-position model. The record is from RNAcentral.